RNAcentral lists this ribosomal RNA (404 nucleotides) under Sternaspis sendalli. RNAcentral's name for it is "partial 16S ribosomal RNA". It matches the Rfam family "Bacterial large subunit ribosomal RNA", at positions 1964 to 2583 of the family's 2925-position model. Lineage: Eukaryota; Metazoa; Annelida; Polychaeta; Terebellida; Sternaspidae. The record is from RNAcentral.
AUCAUUUGCCUUUUAAUUAGUGGCUAGUAUGAAUGGACAAACGAGAAUUCCCCUGUCUCUAUAAAGCCAAUGAAAAUUAAUCUUCAGGUGAAGAAGCCUGAAUCUCAUUAAAAGACAAAAAGACCCUAUUGAGCUUACAUUCAAUCUCUAAAAUAUUAAAAUAAAAUAAAACUACCCUUUUUACAAGAAUUUUGCUGGGGCGGCAAAGGAACAACCAAAAAUUCCUUUUCUCAAAGACUUAUAAGUCUAUUAACUGAUCCGUAUUAACGAUUAACAAAACUAGUUACCAUAGGGAUAACAGGCUAAUUUUUCUCUAAAGCUCACAUUAACAGAAAAGAUUGGCACCUCGAUGUUGGCUUAGGAUAUCCUAAGGGCGCAGAAGCCUUUUAAGGUGGGUUUGUUCA